UACGAAGGGGGCUAGCGUUGCUCGGAAUGACUGGGCGUAAAGGGCGCGUAGGCGGUUUGUACAGUCAGAUGUGAAAUUCCUGGGCUCAACCUGGGGGCUGCAUUUGAUACGUAUGGACUGGAGUGAGGAAGAGGGUCGUGGAAUUCCCAGUGUAGAGGUGAAAUUCGUAGAUAUUGGGAAGAACACCGGUGGCGAAGGCG
This 200-nucleotide ribosomal RNA is filed under the name uncultured bacterium. RNAcentral's name for it is "partial 16S ribosomal RNA". It matches the Rfam family "Bacterial small subunit ribosomal RNA", at positions 524 to 723 of the family's 1533-position model. The record is from RNAcentral.